GCGCCUGUAGCUCAGCUGGAUAGAGCAACGGACUUCUAAUCCGUAGGCCGGGGGUUCGACUCCCUCCAGGCGCGCCA
RNAcentral lists this transfer RNA (77 nucleotides) under Desulfobacteraceae bacterium. Its description in RNAcentral is "tRNA-Arg". It matches the Rfam family "tRNA". From Rfam's summary of the family: Transfer RNA (tRNA) molecules are approximately 80 nucleotides in length. Their secondary structure includes four short double-helical elements and three loops (D, anti-codon, and T loops). The record is from RNAcentral. Lineage: Bacteria; Pseudomonadati; Thermodesulfobacteriota; Desulfobacteria; Desulfobacterales; Desulfobacteraceae.